Molecule: ribosomal RNA, 253 nt
Filed under: uncultured bacterium
Lineage: Bacteria
Description: partial 16S ribosomal RNA
Rfam family: Bacterial small subunit ribosomal RNA
Source: RNAcentral
GACGAACCGUGCGAACGUUGUUCGGAUUCACUGGGCUUAAAGGGCGCGUAGGCGGGUGGCCUGGUCGGGGGUGAAACCUUUCGGCUCAACCGGAAGCCUGCCCCCGAUACCGGCCGCCUGGAGGGGGGUAGGGGCACGCGGAACUUCCGGUGGAGCGGUGAAAUGCGUAGAUAUCGGAAGGAACGCCGGCGGCGAAAGCGGCGUGCUGGACCCCACCUGACGCUGAGGCGCGAAAGCCAGGGGAGCGAACGGG